RNAcentral lists this ribosomal RNA (253 nucleotides) under uncultured bacterium. RNAcentral's name for it is "partial 16S ribosomal RNA". It matches the Rfam family "Bacterial small subunit ribosomal RNA", at positions 524 to 776 of the family's 1533-position model. The record is from RNAcentral.
GACGAACCGUGCGAACGUUGUUCGGAAUCACUGGGCUUAAAGGGCGCGUAGGCGGGCUGCCAAGUCUGGGGUGAAAUCCUCCGGCUCAACCGGAGAACGGCCUGGGAUACUGGCGGUCUGGAAGGGGGUAGGGGCGGCCGGAACGGGUGGUGGAGCGGUGAAAUGCGUUGAUAUCCUGAGGAACUCCGGUGGCGAAGGCGGCACGCUGGACCUUUUCUGACGCUGAGGCGCGAAAGCCAGGGGAGCAAACGGG